This 497-nucleotide ribosomal RNA is filed under the name uncultured bacterium. Its description in RNAcentral is "partial 16S ribosomal RNA". It matches the Rfam family "Bacterial small subunit ribosomal RNA", at positions 28 to 507 of the family's 1533-position model. The record is from RNAcentral.
GGCGAACGCUGGCGGCGUGCCUAAUACAUGCAAGUAGAACGCUGAAGAGAGGAGCUUACUCUUCUUGGAUGAGUUGCGAACGGGUGAGUAACGCGUAGGUAACCUGCCUUGUAGCGGGGGAUAACUAUUGGAAACGAUAGCUAAUACCGCAUAACAAUGGAUGACACAUGUCAUUUAUUUGAAAGGGGCAAUUGCUCCACUACAAGAUGGACCUGCGUUGUAUUAGCUAGUAGGUGAGGUAAUGGCUCACCUAGGCGACGAUACAUAGCCGACCUGAGAGGGUGAUAGGCCACACUGGGACUGAGACACGGCCCAGACUCCUACGGGAGGCAGCAGUAGGGAAUCUUCGGCAAUGGGGGCAACCCUGACCGAGCAACGCCGCGUGAGUGAAGAAGGUUUUCGGAUCGUAAAGCUCUGUUGUAAGUCAAGAACGGGUGUGAGAGUGGAAAGUUCACACUGUGACGGUAGCUUACCAGAAAGGGACGGCUAACUACGUG